This 497-nucleotide ribosomal RNA is filed under the name uncultured bacterium. RNAcentral's name for it is "partial 16S ribosomal RNA". It matches the Rfam family "Bacterial small subunit ribosomal RNA", at positions 28 to 507 of the family's 1533-position model. The record is from RNAcentral.
GAUGAACGCUGGCGGCGUGCCUAAUACAUGCAAGUCGAGCGAACGGACGAGAAGCUUGCUUUUCUGAUGUUAGCGGCGGACGGGUGAGUAACACGUGGAUAACCUACCUAUAAGACUGGGAUAACUUCGGGAAACCGGAGCUAAUACCGGAUAAUAUUUUGAACCGCAUGGUUCAAAAGUGAAAGACGGUCUUGCUGUCACUUAUAGAUGGAUCUGCGCUGCAUUAGCUAGUUGGUAAGGUAACGGCUUACCAAGGCAACGAUGCAUAGCCGACCUGAGAGGGUGAUCGGCCACACUGGAACUGAGACACGGUCCAGACUCCUACGGGAGGCAGCAGUAGGGAAUCUUCCGCAAUGGGCGAAAGCCUGACGGAGCAACGCCGCGUGAGUGAUGAAGGUCUUCGGAUCGUAAAACUCUGUUAUUAGGGAAGAACAUAUGUGUAAGUAACUGUGCACAUCUUGACGGUACCUAAUCAGAAAGCCACGGCUAACUACGUG